RNAcentral lists this transfer RNA (75 nucleotides) under Bacteriophage sp. Its description in RNAcentral is "tRNA-Gly". It matches the Rfam family "tRNA". From Rfam's summary of the family: Transfer RNA (tRNA) molecules are approximately 80 nucleotides in length. Their secondary structure includes four short double-helical elements and three loops (D, anti-codon, and T loops). The record is from RNAcentral.
GCGGGUAUGGUAUAAGGGUUGUGCCUCGGAUUUCCACUCCGACGAAGUCGAGUUCGAAUCUCGCUACCCGCUCCA